GAUCGUCAAUUCGAAAAUCGCAACAUCGAAAACGACCUAGAAGCACGGAAGGCUCUAUGCUUCGAGAAGCAUAGUAGCCUCACACUAUAUAUAUAUAUAUAUUAUAUAUAUAUAUAAUAUAUUAUUAUAUAUAUAUAUAUAUAUAAAGAGUAGGACUAUUGUGCUAUUAGGAGAACAGUAUCUCUUGUACUCCUAAGUUCCUAACUAUCCAUCAAUUUUGGUGGAUGACUAGGAUCAAUCUCUCAUUUGUCUUAUUUCUCUCUCAAUUUUUCUUUUCUCAUUCUCUCCCAAUUUCUUCUAUCUCUUUCUCUCUCACUUUCUCUUCUCUAUCUGUCUUAGCCCACACCCCCGCCAUAAACGAUAAAUCCUAAACCCUAAAUCCUAAAAAAAUCCUAAACCCUAAAAUCCUACACCUUAAACCCUAAAUCGUAAACCCUAAACGCUAAAGCCCAAAACCUUAAACCCUAAACCCACCCCACCCCUGCCAACGCCAGCGGCAGGGGCGACGACGACGAUGGCAGGGGUGGGAGUGGUGCGGUGGUAUAUGGGGUUGGGAGAGGGAAGAGGGUUGAGGUGGAGGUGAUUAUAGUGGGAAGUGUGAGAAAAAGAAGAGAAAUUGGGGAGAUAUUGAAAGAGAGGAGAAAUUGAGAGAGAUGGUAUAUAAAAAAGCGAAAAAAAAAUCUAACCAUUAAUUAAUUUUGGUAGAUUGUUAGAAAGUUAUGAGCACAAGAACUGUCAUGCUCCUAAUAGUAUAGUAGCCUUGUUCUAUAGAACUCCUAUGCUUAAGGCACCAAAUCAUUAGCGCCUGUAGCUUUUCAACCUUUAGACGAAAAUUUGUAGUAGGAUAAUAAUGGCUCCCUGGAGUACGUGGUUGGUUGAAUACCAUAAUCUAAGAGGUGAAAUUGGUCAAAGGGAUCUAUUUAACAGUGAAAAACUUAUAAGCAUCAAGUGUUUAGUGCUUUUAAAAGAACCAUUGCCGCACUCUCUCUCUCUCUCCAAAUAUAUACAUACAUAUUUAAGAGAGAGUGCGAGCUGCUUAUACACCUAAAAAGUAGGUGCACAAAAACAAAGGUUUUACUUGUAAAUUUUGAUAAAUUAAUGAACUUUGAAUAAAAGUAUCUAAUUUGAUAGGAUAUAAAAAAAUUAGUCGAUUUAUUUCAUUUGAUUUAUCUAUUAAAUAUAAAUUAAUUCAGAAGUUUAAAUAGUGUUGGUUGAAAAAUCAAAGAACUAGUGGGAGAUAACAUUGAUUAAAAAUUUAUUAGUUAUUUUGAGUCUAUUUGGGAAAUACAAGGGUAUUUUUGUCCAUGCAUCCACUUCGUUCUCGUUGAAGGGACUUCCAAAUAGAUGAAUGAUUUCAUUAAACUUGAUUUGAAGACGAUGAUUUGAGUUUUAUAAUUUUUCGGCAUUAUUUAGAGCUUGGCAAUAUAGUGAAAAAUAUCAUGCAUGUGAAAAUGACUUGCUAUCUCUUGUUUCUCUUUAGAUUUAAGUUUUUUUUUAAUCUUUUGGUCCCUUAUCGUUUAUGUGAAUUUUCAUAACAGAGAUAACUGAAAAACUACUGCAGUGGAAGCCAAUACUUACAAAAAAAGUUGAUAGCUCAGGAAGCACUCCCCUUCACUAUUUAGCAGCAACUGGUAACCAUUACAUGAUGCGUCAACUAUUAAAACAGGACACUUCUCCGGCUUACAUGUCAGACUGUAAAGGAUUAUGCCCUAUACAUGUUGCUAGUAGGAUGGGAAGACUCUCUAUAAUUCGUGAGCUUAUUAGCUGUUGUCCUGAUAUGGGCGAGUUAGUGGACGGUAGAGGAAGGAAUUUUCUACAUAUUGCUAUACAGCACAAAAGGGAGCGGAUAGUUAGGUUCGUCUGUAAGCAUCCGUUGUUUCUGAGAGUAAAGAAUGGAACGGAUUGUGAAGGGAAUACGCCACUACAUCUUGCUGUAAAAUCCAAGAACCGAACUAUCGUGUGUCUUCUGUUGGAAAAUGUUAGUGUACGCCUAAGCAUCGUGAACAAGGAUGGUAAAACACCUCUAGAUCUUGCAAUAGCCGGGCUCAACUUUGGCUUGUAUUUAAAGCAGGUAAUUCAAUUUCCUACUCUAAGUUCUAUUUUAAUUAUUCCACCCUUCCAAGCGUCAAUUCGCUAGCAUAUAUAUAUAUAUAUAUAUAUAUAUAUAUAUAUAUAUAUAUAUAUAUAUAUAUAUAUAUAUAUAUAUAUAUAUAGUUAGCUAUGGUGCUAUAAACAGCACCCAAGCAUUUGGUGCUUGAAAUUUUUUACCGUUAAAUCUACUCCUCAGAUCAUUUUAAUAACCGCUAAAUUAAUCUAUUUAACCAACCACCCACUCAACCCUAGGGCCCACAUUAUCCUAACCGCCACAUCUCCUCAAUCCAACGGCUAAAAACUACAAGUAUCAUAACUUGGUACUUUAAAAGCAUAGGAGCUACAGUCUAUAUAUAUAUAUAUAUAUAUAAGUGAGCUAUUAUACUUUUAUCAUCAACGUAUCACCAUCAUGGUGCUAUUAGGUUUUAAGCCAUUGGAUCUACUUUUUGAUUAUUAAUGGCCCUUGGAUUAAACACUAUUCCACCUACCACCACCUACCACCACCUACCACCAUCAUCUCAACCUCACAUCUCUCCAUCCAAGGGCUAAAAACACACAAGUAUCACCCCCAUGAUACUUUUACAAGUAUUCUAGCCCUACUCUAUAUAUAUAUAUAUAUAUAUAUAUAUAGAAUUAUGCUACAAUACUAUCAAUAGUACCAAGCCUUUGGUACUAUUAAGUUUUCGGCCGUUGGAUGAAAAGAUGUGCGGUUAGAAUGAUAGUGGUCCCCGGUUAAAUUGAUAGUGGUCCCCUAGGGUUAAAUGGGUGGUUGGUUUAAUAGUAUAAUCUAACGAGUGGAAAUGAUCAGAGGGUAGAUCUAACGGUAGAAAACUCAAUAGUACCAAGUGCUUGGUACUAUCGAUAGUAUAGUAGCCGAACUCAGAGAGAGUUCGGCUACUAUACUAUUAUGAGUACGAUCGCCCUCGUACUCAUAAGUUGUUUUCGAUGAUAGAGUUUUCGAAUUGACGAUCCAUACCGUCAAACGUUAUCUAGAGCAUUUAAAACUUCUAUAAAUCAAAUUCCAUAAUUUUUCAACAUCAUUUACCUUACAAUCAAAAGGUCACAAAAUUGACAAUUUUUAACGGCCGGUAUGGGAUAGUUGCUAGUUUAACGGUGUAAAAGAAUCGGAAUCGGUUGAAUUUUUAAUAGAAAAUUCUAUUCACUACCUAGAUAAAGAUCAAUAACUCCGAUCUUAAAUUGAAGGAUCCGAUCAUCUAUUUUUAGGACGUCGUUCGAUUUCGACCGUUCAUUUUAUACCCGCUUGAUAGACUUUAUUAUGAUUUCGAAGUCCUAUUUAACAGAGUGGAUCGUCGAUUCAGAAGUCCCAUCAUCGAAAAUAACUUAAGAGUACGAAGGGCCCAAUACUCAUAAGAGUAUAGUAGCCCUACUCUAUAUAUAUAUAUAUAUAUAUACAUAUAUAUAUAUAUACAUAUAUAUAUAUAUAUGUACACGUAUAUAUAUACACGUAUAUAUGUAUAUGUAUAUAUACAUGUAUAUAUAAAUGUAUAUGUAUACGAAUUGAGUUAGAAUACUUUUAUAAGUAGCAACCCGUUGAUGCUUCUAGGUUUCUAGUCCUUGAAUUUACGAUUCUUCAUUACUAAUAGCUUUUGGAUCAAACACUAUUCCACCUAUCACUAUUUAUCACCAUCAUCUCAACCCUACAUCUCUCCAUCCAAUGGCUAAAAACUCAAAUGCACUAACCCCUUAGUGCUUUUGAGAGUAUUCUACCUCAACUCUAUAUAUAUAUAUAUAGUUGGAAUGAUUGAAUUUAGAUGAAAAAUUGUUUUUCAUCUAAAUUCAAUCAAACACUCUACAGCUUUUAACCAAAAUAAAUUCUACAGCAAUUAUUUUUCUAAAAUCUAAGAGCAAACAGUAUGUUACUUGGUCUUCAAUUCUUACAUAUUAUUAUGUUUCUUCGCUUCCAGAAUAACUGGAUUUAUUGGUGCUUAAAAGGGGCUGGAGCCAUCAGCGGCUCUCGACGACUGGACCACUUAGCCGGUGAAAACCUCACUCAACCAGGUCUUAAGAAGGAACCGAAGGAGGAACAGGAGACGUACAAGAGCGCACCCCAGAACCUCCUCGUUGCCUCUGUACUUAUCGUUACCGUUACAUUCGCCGCAGCUUUCACCAUGCCUGGGGGUUACAGAGCCGACGACCACCAAAACGGCGGCUCGCCGACUCUAGCAGGGAAAUAUGCUUUCCAUGUCUUCAUAGUCGCAGACACUCUAGCAUUCACUUACUCCGUUCAAGCCACCCUUAAGGUUAUGUACGCCGGCUCGCAUGUGGUCGAUCCAUCUCGUCGGUUUGUCCCCAUUCGAGAUUUCAUAGCCAUGGCCGCUCUACUUAUGGUGGCGGCAUUCGCAAUGUCCGUAUAUGUCCUGCUGGCUCCACUUAGUAAAUCCAUCGCCGUUCUUUGCUGUGCAAUGCCUUUGGCUUUCACGUCAAUAUUUCUUUCUUUGUGGGCACGGCGGCCUUUUCUUCUGGCAAUGGCAUUAACGAGAAGACUGGGAUGGUCUGGCAUGUUCAAACGCUGCGUAGCAAUGCGGCCCCGGGAAAUAUUUCCUGUUGGGAAUUAUAACUGUUUCAUCCUCAGCCGGAAAGCACUGUACCUAGUAUUAUAUGCCAGCAUCUUUCUGCUGCCGCUGGCCGACGUAUGGGGUCAUCACUACUGCAAUUCGCAUAAACAACACUCUUCUGCGUGUUCAUUCUUUUAUGGGUAAGUAAGUGCAUUUUCACUUUAAUUUCCAUCUUGUGAUUUGAAAAAUAUUAUUUUGCUAUCAUCUAAUUUUUUAUUUUUUUCUUUUUACUGUAAAGGCCUGCCAUUAACAAAUAAAUAAAUAAAUAAAUUUUGUAAUAUGUUUUACAAGUCACAGAGUGACUAUCUAAUUAAAUAUAAUAUUUUAAUAUUGAUCCUACUUGGCUGAAGGUCUUUACAUAUAGUGAUAUAGAGAGAAAAUUAUAUGGUGGCAAAAUAAUACUUUUCAAAUUAUGUAGUGGCAAAGUGAAAAUGCAUAGACCAAAUGAAGCGGUAAAUAAUUGAAGGGUUUUAAAAAAAUAAAAUAAAAUUUGAGCAAAGUAAUUAUGUUUGUGCCUUUUCUUUGAGUCGUUGUACUGGAGUCUAAUGUUAGGAUCCUAUCUAAUAAAUGGGAAUGGAUCAAUCAAUAAGCUUGUCUGGGUUCUUCAGUCAAUUACGCACGAGUGUUUUAAAAUAAAAAUUUUAGGUGAUAUUAUUGUUAUUUUCUUUUAAAAUUUUAAGUUUUGUUUGAUAUUAAUUGUUACUAUUUUUUAUGUUUUUUCUCCUUUCUCGAGCGAGGAAAGGGAAGAAAAUUUUGUCGGCAUGCCUAAAGAGAGGAAUAGUAUUCUUUUUCACUUUUUUUUUCUUUCUCUUUAUUAUGUUUUCAUACAAUCAGAGAUUGAAUCUCCAACAUUUGGAAUGAUAACCUGUAUAACAUAACAACUACUUGGUUAGAAUGAUGUUUAUUGUUCACCUCUUUAGUGUCUUUUCAUUUAAAAAAGACUUUCCGUGGAAUAUAAAUUAACAAAGAAAAGCACCUUAUUUUAUAUCGGCAUUUUACACUACAAGAAGCAUUAUUUAUACAUUUGCGCGUCUCAAUUUUGCGGCCUUUUUUGGCAUUGUGAUCUUUUUCUUUUAUUUUUUAAAAUAAAAUUUUAGGCAUUGUUUGAUAUUAUUGUCAUUGUGACGCCCCGACUUCCCAAGGGGUCACCCAUCCUAGGACUACUCCCGUCCUAGCACGCUUAACUCUCUUAACCUCUUGGGUCUAGCCACCACCCAAAAUGCUUAAGCCGGGUUAAGAGUUUAGCCCUAUUAUAUCUNAAAAUCCGUCAGCGUCAUUAGUUCCAGAACAGCUGACCCGGUCGAAACGAGCUAUUGGACUGCUAUGAACAGAGUCCGGUACGAGCCAGAAGCCAACUUCUCACCGCGGCUUCUCCGGAAAAUUGAGUUACUAUUCACUUUAAGUGAAACUUGGAAAUCGCGUAGAAUUUCCGUUUUAACUCGAUUUCGCCCGAAACUUGACGAGUGCUUUUGUAAUUAAAUUACACACAAAAACAUCGUCAACUGAGAGUUUAGCUACACUGCAAAAAUCUCAGUCCCUACAGUCAUUUUCUUUUAAAAUUUUUAAAUAAAAAUUUUAGGCCUUAUUUGGUGUUGUUGGUAUUUUAUUUUUUUUCUUUCUUUUCUCUUUAGAGAGAGAAGAGGGAAAGAAAUUCUAUUAUUAAUUAGUGCAUCGAAAGAGAGGAAUAGCACAUUUUUCAUUUUUUCUUCCCUUUUUCUCUUUAGAGGGUUUCCAUGCAAGUAGUGACUGUAUCUCCCAUGUUUGAAAUGUUAACCUAGAUAACAACUCCUAGGUUUGGACAACCCUUUGUGUCUUUUCAUUUGUAAAAGGCUACUUCGAUGAAAUAUAAAUUAAUGAAGAAAAGCACCUUCUUCUAUAUGGGCACUUUACGCUACAAAAUGCAUAAUUUAUAUAUUUGCGUGUCUCUCAUUUGUUCGGCCUUUUUCUUGUGGAACGAAACUACAACUUUUUCAUCUUUGGUUUUGAAAUAAAUUUUUUUAUAUUUUAUAUUUUUUAUUCUUUUUGCAAAGUUCAACAUUUUGAGUAACUCUUGCCUUUCCUAACUAUGGCUUUAGAAUCUGGCAAUACUCUUUUACUGACUCGAGGAACUUGGUUUUUUUUUAUUUUUUAUUUUAUAUGAUGCUCAUAUGAAGUGAUGCUGGCGAAUGAUGCAUGUGAAUAUAUCUGCAUGUGACAUGAUACAUGUGAACUGAUGCAUAUGAAGUGAUGCUGGUGAAAAGAUGCAUUUGAAUACGUAAUGCAUGUGAAGUGAUGAAGGUGACAUGAUGCAUGUAAAGUUCUAUAGUGAUUUCCUCUAUCAAGUUUGAAAUUAUCAGAGAAUGUUCAAAUUGUUACAGACAAGCAUGUCGAAGUUUUUCAGAAAAGAUUAUGAAACAUAAAUAGUAACAAGAAGUUCAUCAAUUUGGUACUAGAUUUUAAAUCCAAAGUUAGGAAAGGCAUAAAUAUUGCACUACAAAAGAACAAUCAAAACUUAUUUCAACACCAAAGUAAAAUGAUUAUAAGAUAAUCCGGCCAGCUGAAUCAUAAGAAAAUGAUUAAACAACGAUUCUAUUUUGGAAUAGGAGUAAUGGAGUACAUUUGGUUGAUUCGAAUCUCAAUUUCACAAUUUGUAUCUCAAUUCAUGUAAUUGGGACCGGGUCGAAUUAUUAAAUGGUGUAGCACUAAGUUUAGUAUCUACUAAGAGUUAGCCUUGCUUUUGAAAGAUUAAGGGGGUGAGCACUAAAUUUAGUAUGUAGUAAGAGUUAGCUUGAUUUGUAUAGCUGUAUUAGGUCGGUCAACAUAUCAUAACUUGAAUUUAUUUCGUUAGAUAGUGAUCAGUCUUUUAGAGUUUUGUUUAUUUUGAAAGAUCCGAGGCAUGCAAAAAGAAUCAGAAUGAGUGACUCUCAUUGUUGGUGUUUGAUUUGAGGGAUUCACACAGCGGAAAUUUAACCGGCCAAAUCCCAUAACAGAGGUGCAAGUCAACUUUGAUUCCAGGGAGGAUUGAGAAAAGGGCUUUCUUUUUUUAUUACUACUAACAAUUAUUUGAAUUUGAAUAUAAAUUUAAGUUCUAGUUUACGCUAGCUAAGGAUAACAGUAAAAGAGUGCUCUCCUGCAACCAUCUGCUUAGUAAUAGCUUAUUGGCCGCCCCAUAUUAAGUCAGUUUCAAUUGAAAGCAAAGAUUUCACUAGUAGUGAAAGGAUUAUCAAGUGAGAAGCAUUUGUCUAGCUACGAGGAAAGUGUUUAGGUUGUUUGUAAGAUACAUGUCAAAGAAAAUACCGUCCUUUAAAUUAUGAAUUCAAAUUUAAAUUCAAGUUUUAAUUUCUUAAGUUCAAAGUAGGAAUUGGAAUAAUAGUUUGAUUUUUUGAAUUUAGUUCUAGUUUUAAAUUUUGAUUUGAACUUGUUCCUCACUGGAUGGUACUUGAAAUCCUCAAGUGUUGCAUCCAUCAUGACUUGAUUAAUAUUUUUUUAAUCAAAGUUUGUUAUAUAUCUGGAUUACUUGUGUUAACGUAGUUAAAUUUUUUUUUACGGUAAAACAGGAGAUGGUUCUUAGUGUGCCCAAAUUCAUUAAUGGGAUAAGAAAAUUAAUGCACAAUGUAAGCUUGCACGUCCAAACAAUCACGGCCAAAAGAUCAGCAGUCAACCAAGCUAACCUAACGUAGAAUGAAAAUACAAGUGAGGAACAACAACUAACCUAAAACCAACUUACAAUAGAAUAAUCACAUAGUUAAUUAAUGAGCAUAGUAUGCAAAACAAUAAUAACAGUAUGUAACUAACUCAUAAGUGCAGAAUCGAUUUGACCAGCCUAUUUAUGACACAAAAAGUUCUUAAAUGCAUUGUGAGUGAAGCUCGAACUGAAGUCACCAUUGUUAAUACUUACUUCUGCCUUUUUUAAUUUGGCCUGUUUAACCCCUAGUGUUCAUUGUUCAUUCUGACUUGAACAUACCUUCCCCCUUCAACAAUAGGUUGCGCAAAGAAGAUGUGAAGUUUGCAAAGGCUCCGGCCUUGUACUAAAAGAUACUUAUUAUGUUCGCUGCCCUAGCUGUGAUAUGUUGAUUUUUAUGUAUGCAAACUUUUUAUUUUGUUGAUUCCUCUGUUUCAAAAAAAAACAUGUCCAUCUAAGCUUGAAAUUUGUUUUAAUAUUGAAGUAAAAUUCGCAUCAGUUUGUCCAUUAUUUUUCAGUUUAACAUUUUAAUCCAUUUCAUUUUGUAGGUGGCUUUCUGCCAUGGCAGUCGUGGAAAAGAUUCUUUACUGGUUAGAACUUAACUAAGAAGUUUGUGAGCCGUUUUAUCUGUCCUACUAAAUUUGAACGAUAUGUAAUAGCAUGAAACUAGACAGAACCCAAGAGAAAGUAUAAGAAAUAUUUGAGGAAGUUUCAUAAAUCAAGUCAAAGACAAUCAUUUAUAAAGCUAAUGAAGAGAAUUUUGAUGUAGACAUUAGAAGGUAAACAAUUGGACUUGGAGUUUGUUGCGUAAAUAAUUGUUCGUAAGAACAUUUCGAAUACAGAACUUUUAAAUGAAGAGGUGAAUAAGGUACAAAUAAAAAAAUAAUAUAAUAGUACAAUCGAAAUAUUAAAAGUCUUAGACAAUUGAAAUGAUUAGUCAUCGAAAGGUAAGGAGAACUGAAAAAAAAAAAACGAAAGCAAAUUUUAGGGGAUAAAAGAAUGAAAAAAGAACUUAUCAUUAGACGCAAUUAAAAAUUUUUGGCAAAGACCGCAAGAGUAUUGAAAGUAUACAUGAAAAAGAAAAAGUUGUGAAAUGUGCCAUUAAAAAUCACAAAAGCAAUCAAGGAUUGAAAAAAUAAGAAUUAUAUAAUAAAUAGAAGACCAUACUUAAGAAUAUUAGACAUAGAGAUACCAAAUACAAUAAAAGAUAAAAUCAAAAACAAAGAAUUCGAUGUAUAGAAGUGUGUUUACCAAUCCUCUACUUGCAGUGUGCAUAAUUAAAAGUAAAUCCACCUUUGCUUAUUUGAUUAUGACUUCGUAGUUCUAACACAACCUACAAAUAAUAAGCAUCUGUAGUUCCAACACAGCCGCCAUAUAAUAAGCAUUGGUAGUUUCAACAUUGUCUAUACAUAGUAAGCAUAGUGAAAUGGUGUAGUAGAAAAAAAAAAUUAUAAAACAUUUUAAGAAGGGAAACAAAACAAACAUCAUUGGAUAAAAACAAUCUAGAACUAACAUGAAAAGAAAACAGAGGAAAAAAAACAAAUGAAACAAAAGCAAAACUAAAAGAUGAGCAAGAACAAGCAAGAUCAAAAGAGAUAUAUAAGAGUAAAAGAGAGGGAAGAAAAAUGUGGUGCACAACCCAUCAUUGUCUAAAUGAUCAAAAGGUUGUAGCAUUUCCAGCUUUUGCUCUAAAGAACAACUGAAUAGCUAGAAAGAAAAGAAAAGUACAAGAAAAGUGAGAAGAUAUAAAGAUGAAAUAGCACAUUGGUUUGAUUUGAAGCAUUAAGUAAUAAAAUGCCCAACAAUAUGUAAGGAAGUAGAAACCAAAAUAAAAUUAUACCAAAUUCAAAAUAGUUCCAUAAAUAAAGUCAAGAAGAAUGACCCAUCCAACGAACACGAAAUCCCCGAAAAUAUGUGUAACUCAGUAGCUAUCGGUAUUUUGUAAAUAAAGAAAAGAAAGUGAGAAACAAUUCAAAAAAAAGGAGGAGGAGGAAUGUAUAGCUAAUUAAGAAACAAGAAAAGAAACAAAGGGCAAGGCCGCAGGAGAAACCCAUAACUGUGAUAUACGAACUUUCAAGAACACUUUCAAAACCCAGCAACCAAAAGCAAAAAAAAAAAAAAAAAAAAAAAAAGUGAAAAAGAAGAGUACACCCCUAAAAUGCCAAUUUUGAAAGGCGCACUUGAGAGAAUAGCAUUAACCUACUAUAAAAAUUAUCAUGAAAGAUAGCAAAAUGAGAAGGAUAUCAUAAGAAAUCAAAUUACGUCAUAGAAAUAUAACAAACUUGAAAGAAAAUCAACGCAAGAAACUUUUGGAGAAACAAAGAAAGUAGGAAAUUCGAAUUACACAAAAUAUGAGUUGUUGUAAGUAAUUGCAUAUUUGAAUCUAAAAAACAAAAGUCAAAAUUAAUUAGACAAAUUGAAUUACAAAAGAAAAUGACUACUUUCAAAAGAUCCAACAUCCUUGACAAAGUUCUUGAAAUAAAGUAAACCUACAACUUGCAUAGAUAUACCUCAUUCAACUUCACAACAAAGUUAGAGAAUUCAUAUAUACGUGGCAAUUUUAAAUGCAUAAAUACAGUCAGCAACCAUAAAUGUGUCAUCACCUGAUGCAAGAAGCUCAGCAGUCAUACACUACACAGUAAUUAAAGUUGGGAAAUAGUACUACUGUGAACCAACACAAUUUCAUUUUGCAAUCAUCUUCACAAAAAGUAAAAGGGUCAAGCAGUUUGCUCAAUCAAAAGCACUCUAUGAAUCAAACAAUUAUACUCCCAUGCUUAAAAUAUGCCCUGCAAUGACAAGAAUAUUCAUAUUAAAUUAUGAAUAUUUGUAUUACAUUAUGACCAAAGAGGUGUCAUUUUGUAGUAUGAUUGGAUAAAUUUAAUAUAACAAAUCUUACAUAAUUUAUAUCAAAAUUCUUUUUGAGCAAACAAUUUAUCUUAAUUCCACACUCGUUGACAUCUAAAUGUAUUAGAUAUCUGAUGUCACGCCCCGAGCCCGCCUCUUUGGUCGGAUUUGGGCACGCCAACAGACCGCCGAACGGACAUGGUUUUUUCUGUACCGCGGACAGAGUCUCCCCUGUACGUCCAAGGCGUCACAAUCCAUACAAUGCACGAGGUUCCAACUAGGAACAGCAUUCAACAAAGAUUGCAUAAGGAAGGUAUGCAAACAUAAAUACUAUGCUAUUACAAGUAUUCAACUCACAUACUUUUUACAUAUUACAUUUUCAACUCUCAAUUAGCUUCCAAAAACAAUCCAAGUUACUACAAUUUAUUACAACAUUGUUCUUUUCUUUUCUAUACCCCUAUCUAAGCCGACUCGGGGUACUACUAUCUCUGGUCUCGGUGGUAAGGCGCUAUCUACGGAACUACGCCCUUAUCUCGCGCCGCCGCGCCGCUUACGUGUGAACCUGUACCCCCAAAAAUAACACGAGGGUGAGAACUAUUGUCCAUAUAUAGUUCCCAGUGGGUACGGCCACCCAAGGAAAAAGCUCGACCCACCAGGUCCAAAGAAGGCACUGCAAACAUAUUAGUCUAACCAAUAUUCACAGAUAUAUAAUUUAUGCAACUAACAUUAUCAUAUUCAUGCCUCACAAUAUGCCACAUGCAAAUUAUGCAACUAUCCAAGUAGAUUAAUUGGUUCUACUCUUAUUCUUAGCCAUUCAUUAAUAUUAGCCAUACUUUAUUCUUUGUUCUUCACUAAGGAUACUCACACCUUAGACAUAUUAUACACAAUUACCACUCUUUCCUAAGGUUAUUUUACCUUAGCCAACUAUGCCACUCGACUGGGUCUUCAGUCAAUCAACUGCGGAUAAUCUGCUCUCUGUCAGGCUCGAGGCGAAGGACAUCUCACAUGCACCUCAGCCUUAAAUCCUCUUGACUAUAGGUCUGCUCACAGGGUGAGGAUAUACCGUCGAACCCCAGACCACAAGUCGCUGAAUGGACCUACGAGCGAGGAGAACCACAUGUACCCGCGUCCCCAAUCUCAUACUCAUACCGGGCGAGGAGAAUCACACAUACCCGCUGAGUCACUGCCAGGCGAGGAGAACCACACAUACCCGCAGUUACACUUCACUUGCGCUCGGUCGCAAGUCUCUUUCGCUGCACUAGCAGCAUUCAUUCCUAGGGAUUCCGAAAUUCACUUUCAUAACUCUAGGGUUGGUCUCACCCUAUAAUAUCGACCCAUCUAGGUCCAAGCCUUUACUUAACCUAGUUUAAUACUUUAGGUUCGUUGCCACUAUGCUCAUAGCCUGGGUUCAUUAACACUAGGCUCCAUGUUCUUUACUACCUAGGCCCAUUUGACUCUAGAUUCAAUGUCACUCUAUUCAUAACCUAGGCUUACUUAACUCUAGGUUCAAUUCUCCUCCUAUGUUUAAUACAUUAGGUUUAAUGCCACUCGUGUUCUUAUUUUCCUAGUUGUCCACAUGUAAGAAUUAUAGUUGACAUGCCACUCAUGAAUCACCUAUGUUCAAUGACACUAGGUUUUAUUGCCACUCUCGUCCUUGUUAUUUAUACUUAGGAUUCUUAGUUUACAAGCUAUGCUUGUCGAGUUCUUUACUCUACUUAGAGUUCAUCGAUCUAAGUUCUCAUUUUCCAAGGAUGGUCCAUACACAACAAUACUUGCAUUCAUGUAGUAUUUAAUUCAUGCACUAACUUAGCAUAUACUCUAUACAUUCAUUUACACUUUUCGCAUGCAUUUAUUAAUAUCAUCUCAUUCAUGCAUUCUUUAGCCUCUACUUCAUGCACUUAUGUAACAUCUCAUGGAAGGUAAUAACAUCAAGCAUAAUAUGAUUUAUGCAUUUCAUAUUAUCACAUAUAACCUACCAACUACACAUGCAUCAACAAUAUUCACACUUCACUUUGGCAUGGAAGUGAGCUAAAUAUUUCGAUGAGCACAACCCACCUCAAAUCGCUUUUCGAUUGUUUGUAAUCACUUGCAAUCGGCCUCCCGCGGCACCCGUUGCUCGGUUCAGCCCGAACUCGCACUCGACCACCAAACGGCCACCAAUCCACAAUCCGAAAAUUAAAGGUCUAUAACUUGAUGUCACGAUGCUCUGGAUCCGUUCUCGUGAUUUUUGGACGUGGCCUCGGCCCUCUAGGUGGAAACGAAGCCGAAACGUCCGUUUCUUAAAUAUCUUCACGUAGGCUUGACGAAUCGCCGAACCGAUCGCCAACGCGUUGGAAAUACCUUCAAUUAGGUUUACAUAUGGUCAAUAUACAUUUAAAUCCAUCUAUGACAAAAGUUUCAAUUUUGGUGCUCUAACAAUGCCAUAUACUCAAUAUCUCGUUUUGAUCUCUAAAACAAGCAAAAGAGAGCUUGUUCAACAUCUAGGAACUCAUCUAGAACCAUUUAAACCAUUCUUAGGGUGUUUAGAACAAACCCUAGAAAUCCACAAUGAGAGCACUAUGAAGAAAACAUGGUUUUCAUGUGUUCUAUGAUCUUAACAAGGUUUCUACUCUUGUAAGAAGAUCAAAUCCAAAAGAUUUUGGGUGUAAAACCAAACCCUAAUAUCAUUCUUACAAGAAACCUUACCUUGGCCCAAAGCUCACCAAGCUACACCUUAUAGGAGAGCCACCAAACCCUUCAAAAGCUCCAAUCUCCACUUGAUCUUCUCCAAAUCCACCUCUAACUCGCCUUGGUAGAGUGCUUCUAGAGAGAGAAAGGGAGAGAAAUGAGAGAGGAGGGAUGCUCUCAGCUGGGAACAAGAGAAAAUAGGGGUUGGGGGCUUAUAUAGGCUGCUACAAUAGCAAAUAAGCCCUCAUUCUUUUCAUAUUUGCAGCAGACCAACCUGCUGUUUUCGCAGCAUUGUGUACCGGUACAUAUCAGCGGUGUCACCGGUAACACGAUCUCGCAAAACCAAACCCGAAAGCAGCUUCUUGGGUUUUUACACUGUGUACCGGUACACUUUUAAUCUGUCACCGGUUAACAACCUUUUCAGAACUUUGCCAAUUUUUUCAGUUUUUCUCCGUUUUCGCUCGUUUUUGCUCGUUAGGCCUUCGAUUCAUCUCAAAUCGCACCAAGACCCCCAAAACAUGUUUUCAAGCGUGUCUCAACCAUCUUUUCAUUCACGCUUAUGCCCGAUUUAAUCCAUGGUCCAACAUAUCCUUUCGGGUUCCGUUUUCACGCCCAACGCGCACCGAAACCCCCGAAUGCUCCCUAACCUCAAUCUCGUAUUGUUUCGACUCUAAUUCGCGCCGAGCAAUGCUAAAACCUUUCCAACUCUCCUGGAACUCAACUUUAACCCUUCCAACAUUGUUCGAAUGUUAAAUGAACUUUGUCCAACUAUUUCUUUCGCACACUUUAUUCAAUUUGACUAAAGCUCGAUAUAGCUUACCGAAGUUCCAGUAUGUUACAUCUGAACUGGGUUGUGCCAAGUAUUUAAGAACUAGUAUGGAGUAAGCUCCACUACCAACCCAUCAACGCGUAUUCAUUUUCUAUAUUUUUUUCAGUGGUCCAGGGAUUUGGGUCCAACAAAGUUGGGUUAAGGUGCUUAAGAAAAAAGACUUGAACAUAUUCAAUUUAAUAUGUACAUUUGAAAAUAUAAUGGACUUGACCAAUUGAUGCAUUAGUUUCGAAUCUGACCCAACUUGCUUCUCGCCGACCUAAUAGAAAUCAGCCCAAGAAAGUUUGAUUGUACCACUGCCCGAGCUUUGUUAGCAAUUAUGCUCUGAAGACUUGAAUAGGCUAGCAUAGCCUGUAGGCCUUAGCUCCCGUUUGGUUGGGGGUUAAGGGGUGGAAUAACCCCUUAACCCCCAAUUUAUACCCAAACAACAGCAUUUAGGGGUGGGGUUUACUAACCCCACCCCCCCUCCCCGCUUUAUCCCCGCACGGCUCCCAACGCCCUUCCACUUUUCCUUUUCUCCCCUGUUGAUCAUUCCCCUUCCUCCUCUGUUGAUCGUUCCCCUUCCUCCCCGUUCUCACCCCGAAGCCCUUCACUCCGGCUUUCCCCUUCCUCCCCUUUCUCACCCCGAAGCUCUUUCACCGCUGGAUCUGCCUCCUCCCGAAGCCCCUCCACUCCGGCCGAAUCCCUUCACCUCUGACCCGAAGCCCUUCCCCAAAGCCCCUUCACAUCCGCCCGAAGCCCUACACUGCCGGCGGAACCCCUCCACCUCCGGCUUCACCGCCGGCUUAACCCCUCUACCACCGGCUUCACCUCCGGCCGAAGCCCUUCACCGCCACCUACGGCUUCACCUCCGCCCGAAGCCCUUCCCUUCCGGCCGAAGCCCGUUACCGCCGGCCGAACCCCUUCACCUCCGGCUUUCCCUCCGCCCGAAGCCCUUCACCUCCGCCCUUACCUCUUCACCGCCGGCCGAACCCCUUCAUCUCCGGCUUCACUUCUGCCCGAAGCCCUUCACUGCCGGUCGAACCGCACCACCUCCGGCUUCACCUCCGCCCGAAGCCCUUCACCGCCACCUCCGGCUUCACCUCCGCCCGAAGCCCUUCCCUUCCGGCCUAAGCCCGUUACCGCCGCCCGGACCCCUUCACCUCCGCCUUCACCUCCGCCCGAAGCCCUUCCCUUCCGGCCGAAGCCCUUCUUCCACCUCGUCGAUUUGUUGGUUUCUUUGUAGAUUUGUGGAAUGCUUGUUGGUCUCGGUUAAGGCCCGUUCCUCGACAUCUUCGUCGUAGGGAAGGCGUUGUGUUGCCACCCUUCGGUCUUCGGUUCUGAUUUUGCCAACAGUGUACGGAUUCCCCGCCGUUGCGUGCUAUCGAUCUGACUGUCGCGCCUUGACUAUCUUUGUGCUUGGUUCUGGCCAUUUCUGAAUUUGCUAUCUUUGCGAUAGACAGGUUUGAUCUCCAUGUUUACUGUUGCCAUAUAUAGCGUUUCUGUAUAUCCAAUGCCGUUGAAAGAAUAUCAUCUAUUUGCACAAUGAUUGGUAUAACGUACAUGAUGUUGAUCUGAGUAUACUUGAGAAUAUUAAGUAUUGGUUGGAAGCUUGUGGUUCGGCGAUGAUGACGGAUUCUAAUUAAGAUUAGAAGGAUGGCAUCGAUGGAAACAUCAAUGCAACCCCAUGUUAGUUGGAAUCCACUUGAGCCAAUUGUGGGAACGAACCAUCAAGACUCCCAUUUAGGGGACCAUACAUUUUUACAAUUCUUCACAAAUAUUGCAUGAAAUAUCUACUCUAUCCAUGUUUUUAUUAUAUCAUUCUACCCUUUAUUAUAUAUAGUCUACUUGGUAGUAGAGAAAAAUAAUUGCAUUAGUAUAUUGUGUAUGCAAUGCUUAUACAUUAUGUAAUUACUAACCCCUCCAAUUUAAAUAGCAUGUAAUAUCGUAUAUACGUUCUAUGCAUCCAUCAUGCACCGUUUUUAAUUAUUAACUACAGAUGCGUCCAUUCAAGAAAGUUUCUAAGUCCAAACAGAAGCAACAUGGGCUCGCUGAUGAGUCACCUAUUGAGCCUAGCGGUGGCAUUCGUAUUGAUACAAGAACUAGAAGUCAAAAUUGGAGCAACAUUUUGGAUGCACAAUUGUUGGGGCUUAUGAGAGAUGAACAUACAUUUGGUAAUUGUGGAAAUGGGUCAUUCACUCCGAUUGCGUGGAAGCGGGUGGUAAAUGAGUUCAACAGUCGAAACAAUAUGAACCUAACAAAGACGCAAUUGAAGAAUCGAUUUAAAGUGUUAAAAUUUUUUUUCAAUUUGUACCAUUCUCUUGCCAACAAGAGCGGGUGGGGAUGGAACACUGACUUGCACAUUCCCACACCUGGUGACGCAAGAAUCUGGGAUUCUGUUAUAGCGGUAAUUACAAUUUCUUUUAUAAUAGCGUUACUGUCUUAUUAAGACAUGUACAUUAUAUGAUAGUAUUAAAUUGUUAAUAUUAUUACUUCAGGAGAAUCCAGCGUACGCCAGGUGUAGGGAUAAGCCCUUUCCCGCCUAUAAUGACAUGGAAUUUCUUACCCAAAAUACAACUGCGACUGGAAGAUAUGCAUUUACAAGUGCUGUGGAGCUUCCCCCUAUAAUUGAAAGCUCCUCUCGGUCAUCCCCUGGUGAGGAUGAUACUAUUGCUGGCUGCGGAAUGUCAGCUUGUAAUCUCUCAUCGGACCCAUUCGAAGCAGGAACUACAACAAAACUGAGCUACAGCGACACUUUUAAGUGUCCCUAAAACUUAAAAAAAGUGCUGCUAGCAAAAAUACCGACACUAAAAAAAGUGUCGCUAUAUGUGCAGUCCCUAGGGUAUAUAGCGACACUUAAAAAAGUGUCGGUAUAUCCCAAAAUAAGUGCUGCAAUUUAGUGGCACUUUUUUUUAGUUUUAGUGACACACAUAAGUGUCCCUAAUUUUUUUUUAAAAAGUAAUAUUUUUUUUAUAUAGUGACACACAUAAGUGUCCCUAAUUUUUGUAAAAAAGUAAUUUUUUUUUAUAUAGUGACACUUUAUAAGUGUCACAUUGUCAUUCAAAGUAUAAUAUUUUAUUUAAACAUCUAGUCUCGUAUUAAAAUUUAGUUAAACUAAUCACAUAUACAUUAAAUCUAUGAGACUCAAAAAAAGCAAUCAACAAAGUUUCUUAAAUUCUCGUUAAAAUGAUAAAACUAAAAUCAAAUAUCCAUAUAUCGCAACAAUAAUAUCUACUCAUAUGCUGCAGUAAUUAUAACAAAUCAAACUAUCUAACUGAAAGAAAUACAAAAAAUUAAAAAUUGUUUGAUAACAAAAAUCUAAAAGUGCAUAAACGAAUUCUGAUUGGCCCCACGACUAUAUACUGAAACCUGCACAUUGAAUAACAUUUGAAUUAGUUCAAAUUUGUACAACAUCCUUGAUUUUGCCAAAACAUUUAAAAAAAAAGAAGAAAGAAACUCUUGUUGAAAUUCUAUCACAUGCAUCUAUUAACAAAGUGUACACAAUUGUUGCAGAACUUGAACUAUAACGGAGCUUUGACCAACAAAAUAUAAAGUACAGUAAAUAUAGAAAGUAGAAAUACCCCCAAAAUUCAAUGUAUGUAGUUAAAAUGUAGCUGUAAGAUACACAUCUAAUGAACUAGUAAAUGGAUUUGAAAAGCUAUUUUUGGCUCUUGGGGUUUAAAAGAACUGCACUAAUUAAUUUUGAAGAACUAUAUAUANGCACGAAAAGAAGAACGACAGGUUACAUUGAGCCACUAAACUGUACAAUUAUUAGUUCAAAUCGAUAUCAAAUAACAAGUUCAUGGUGAUCUUGGUAGAGAAAAUAAAUUAUAUUCCUUUUUCUCAUACAUCGUAAUACGAAUUUGAAAACCUUUGUUCUUAAAGAAUUUACUCGAGAUUGAUUGUUAACGUAAACCACCAGCAUUGAUCAACACAACUUCUCCUAAUUCAUCAGGCGGUAACAAGAUGGAUGUUGAAAAAUAACGUGAUAACACAUCAACUAUACAUCGACAUAUAUUGUAAUAACAAUAAAACCAAAUCUUGGUUUGAGCAGGGAGAGGAGCCAUAAAACGAUUUUGAUAUAUCACCUAAACAUAUAUAUAUGUAUAAGGUGUUGCUCUGUUAAGAACAGGGGAAGGUUGACAUCACUAGAUCCACUCCUUAAAGUGUGACAGUACGAACGUGGUGCAGUAGUUAUUGUUUAAUUAAUAAAAAAAAAAAAUUUAUUUUCAUAUUAUUUUUAUAAAAGAAUAUUAGUACUAUACUGUAUAUAAAAAAUUUUUUUUAUAAAUUAAUUAAACAAUGCAGUGUAGUAGUUAUAUAAGCAACAUAAAAUUUUAAAAAGCUAGGUCCAUGCUACGUACCGUUUUACCGACGUAUUUUCAGUGAUAAUUUUAAAAAGCUAGGUCCAUGCUACGUACCGUUUUACCGACGUAUUUUCAGUGACAGUGUAGGGCAUAACUACACAUUACUACGAAUUAGCGAGCAUAAACAUCAAAUUUAGUGGAAUUUGGUGGAAAAUAACCGAUCGUAUAGCUUCCGACAAAAGGUUAUAAUCUUGAUAAAAAAAAAAAAAUCAACGUACCAUAAAUAAUUUCGUCAAGAUUUUGGUCAAGUCUAAAAAUAUCGUUAUCAAUGAAUUACAGCAUUGAUCACUUCUGUAGGCGCAUAAUACCGCCUGGCUAAUAUAUUGUUUAUUUAUUUUUUUUCAACUUCUUUCUUCUUUGCUAUCUUCACAUUCUUUAAAAAAAAUUUUUUUUUUCUCGGUUUCUUAAUUUUUUUUAUUUUCAUCUUUUCUAGCUUCUUUUUCGUCUGUGUCGACGUCAUUUUCAUAUUCUUAUCUCAUAUCCUUGUUAUGUUCUUUUAAUUUUUAUUUAUAAUAUUAUUAUUGUUUAAUAUAAAUAUUAUCGUCAUUUUCAUAUUAUUUUUAUUUUCUUUGAUUUUUUCUUCUUAAUCCUCGUUGUCUUCAUUUUUUCAAUCAUUUCUUUUUUUCUUCUUUAUAAGACAUCUAGCUAUCCAACAUUUUCUUUUACAAUACGUGAUAUAAAGACUUUAGUAUAAUAUUUUAAAAUUUAAUAUAUUAAAAAAAUAUAACUAAUUUAAUAUAUAUAAUUUAUAUUUAAAAAUAGAAUAUUAUAAUUAUAAAUUUUUAUUUAACAUGUUGUUUUUUACUCAUUCUUUCUAAAUGCUUUCUCUUAAUGCAACCUUUUUUUUUGCGGUUAUAUUCUAUUUUUCCUCAACUUAACCUUUGUUUUUUAUUUAUUUAUUUUUAUUUUUUGGGUCAAGUUUAGUUACACCUUGGAGGUACACCUAAACUUGACCGGUAAGCCGAGGUGCACCUAAACCUCGAGUUCAAGUAUAUGCAUAUAUUUGAAUAUUUUUUUUUUUUUUAACUGUAUAAAAAAAAAAAAAAAAAAUUCUCUAUCCAUCGUAUGCUAGGCGAAGCAAAUAAAGUAAAUCUUAGCAGAUAAAGUAAAUCUUUAUUUGAAUCGACCUUUAUACUUAGUUGAUUUUAAGUUUGAAUCCAGAGCUCAUGGUUGGCGUUUCGGGAAACGGUGAACAAGAUCCCUGCCAGCCAUUGUAGAAAAAACAAUCAAGUAUAUGGAACAUGUCGAGUGGAACAUGUCAAGUAUAUGGAACAUGUCGAGUGGACUAUAAGGUACUAUACUGCUAUUCUAAUGGAAAACCAAUAAAGAAUAAUCUAACUAGAAAAUCUAUAUAACAUAGCUUAGGAUUGGGUACGGAGUACUAAUUAGCCGCGCGGACACCAAGCGUAAAUUGUAUAUACCACCUGGUCCUACUCCGUUUUUAAGGAACACUGAACCUCACGAAUCGAAGUCUAAUAAAAAAAAAAAGAAAGAAAACAUUAAGAAAAGAGAAUCCGAAGCAAACCUAACACCCCUCUAACGCAAUAUGGAUUAUAAUGCAAGGCGUAUAGUGCUACUCAGCCAAUGUUAUACAAAAGACGCCAGGGUGGCCUCUUAUGUCUUCGUAUAAGGAUAUAUGAAAAAGGAGUUGAGGUAAGAUAGAUUAUCGCAAUCUAUCCGGAGUUACAGUUUUAUUUGGAAUUAACGAAGUUCUUGUCAUAUUAUGGUACACUGGCGUUAACUUAGGUUGAAAAUCAGCGGGAAAUUAGUGAGAAAAAAGUAAAAAGACCACGAAAAAGGAGAAAAAAUAAAGUGGAAGAGAGAAAACACUUAACAAAGAAAGAGAGUAAAAAGCGAGGAGGAGAAACAAACAUAACAGAGUAAACUACUGAGAGAGAGGGGAUGGUGGACCUGGGGGAUAUAAAAAUACAUCAAAAGUGAUUUAUGAGCUAGUUUUAGGAUCAACAAUUAAUUUUAAAUAAAUAUAAUAAACAAUCAGGGUCACCAGUGGCGUAUGCUCCUCCACCAAAAGAUAUAUUGUCAUCGUAGUAUCGGUUAGUUUAGAGAAUAACACUAUUUAUUAGUAUUAUUAAAAAAAAAUUUUUUUUUUACUCUACUCACUUAGAGUCCCGUUUAAACUAAACGAUCUCUGUCUAUUAUAUAUGAUAGUAUAAAAUUUUAAAAAGCGCGUGUAUCUGAGUAAAAACCUGACGUUUUUUUAAGAAUAAAAUGUAUACAUAAAUAAAUAAAAUAGACGCCGACGACGAUGACAAAUUACAACGUUGCCAGGGCUCGGCAGGUUAUUUUUUAAAUGUUUAUGGUUCAUGAACCAUUAAAAUGUUCGUGGUAUAUAUCGACUUGAGAGAGAGAGAAAGAGAUAGAGAGAGAUAUAUAUAUAUAUACUCUUUUAUAUUCCUUUUUGAAGUUUAUGGGGGGAUACCAAAACGUGAAGGAGUGAAAUCAUAGGAUACCAAAUUUCACAUAGUUCAAUCAUGGUAUACCAAAGUGUGAAAGAGUGAAAUCAUGGUACACUAAAUUUCACAUAGUUCAAUCAUGAGAUACCAAUAAAAACAUAGUUCAAUCAUGGGACACCAAAGUAAAAAGAGAAAAAUAGUAAGUAAAGCCCCAUAAAAAAGCAAUUUAGUCACUGUUUUAAUUUUGAUUUUUCAUGAUUUUACUUAUAAACUAUUUGAAUCCAUUCUAUAAACUUCAAAAAACAUAUAUUAAAUUGCUUUAUAAUUUGGUAUCCCAUGAUUUCACUUUUUCACGCUUUGGUGUCCCAUGAUUGAACUAUACGAAAUUUAGUGUCUUAUGAUUUCACUCUUUCACGCUUUGGUAUUCCAUGACUGAACUAUGUGAAAUUUGGUAUCUCAUGAUUUCAUUUUUUCACACUUUGAUGUACCAUGAUUGAACAAUACGAAAUUUGGUGUCCUAUGAUUUCACUCUUUCACGCUUUGGUAUCCCAUGACUGAACUAUGUGAAAUUUGGUAUCUCAUGAUUUCUCUUUUUCAUGCUUUGGUAUAUCAUGAUUGAACUAUACAAAAUUUGAUGUCUCAUGACUUCACUCUUUCACGCUUUGGUAUUCCAUGACUGAACUAUAUGAAGUUUGAUAUCUCAUGAUUUCGUUUUUUCACGCUUUGGUGUACUCUCAUAAAACUUCAAAAAGGUUUUAUAUUCAAAUAAAAUCAAAGUUUCAAGAAAAUAUUCUCGAGAGAGAACGGAGGAUAGCAUCACUUUUAGUAAAUUUAGUUUGAGUAUGCCAAACUUUUAAUGCAUUUAGUGUUAGCAUUCUAAAAUUUUAGAUAAUGAAGCCAUAGUUUAUAAAGUUUUUGAGUUACCAGUUAUUUGUUUUUUUCAAUCAUACAAUUUUACAUAUAUUUAGAAACUUUAAAACAUUUGAUAUAAAUGAUUUAAUAUAAAAAAUAGAAUUAUAAAAAUAAUCUUGAUCCGAUGAUACGAUAAGUAUCGUGGUUCAGCAACCACGAUGGUUCAAAAACCGGUAACCUAAUUCUCUACACACCAAGCCUACUACACCCGGGGGAUCCCAACUCACCUACCAACCAACUUAUCAUACUAGAUUGCCCACUUUUACUAGGUUUACCAUCUAGAUUGCCGCCUUUUGAACUAUCGUAGUUCACGAAGCACGAUAAUUAUCGUAUCAUCGGCCUGAGAAAAAUAAUAUAUAGCUCAUGUCCGUUAUUAAAGAGGGUGCAUAGAGAGAGAGAGAGAGAGAGAGAGAGAGAGAGAGAGACCCAGGUUCCCUGUUUAGUACAUGUUAACAUCCCUUUAUACGUAGUUUUCGUAUGUUUAUAGAUUGAUAUAUAACACCCAUUUUCUCCGUAUAUGCUACUCGAAGACAGGUUGCUUCUUUUUUCUUUUUUGACCUUUUCAUUAGUUACUACUACCAGCAUAAUCUCACGUGGUAAGUAAGAGGAGAGUACUCUUUUUUUUUUUUUUCUUUUUUCUUUUUUCAAGUUGAACACCGAAAUAAGAAACGAAGACAAACCGGGAACAGAUUGAAAGAAAAACUAUCGGUAAAUCCAGGUCCAGUUCGUUUUUGUUAAGUAGAAAGGAAAAAAAAAAAAGAAAAAGAAAAAACCAAAAACAAUACAUCGAUAUAUGUGUGAGUGUGAGUGUGUGUGAAAUUAUGAAAUAAUUAUUUGGUGGAACCACAACAUGAGUAUAUAUCUAGUGUUAAUGCAUGCACAUGCCUGUUUCUCACUUUCUUCAAGUUCACGUAGGAAGCAUUUUAUAAUGCUUCAUUUUAACCCUCGGGUAGUAACAACACAAAUAAAACUAGUAUAUUAACACCCAUUAUUUAACGAAAUAAGAAGUAAAAUGUAGGGUUUUAUAAGACUUUUUUUUUUUAAUAUAAGCUCAGUGCUUUUACUUGUGUUUUCUAUAUACAUCACAAAUUAAUUAUCAAAUCCCAAAGCUUCUUGGUUAUAAUAGAGCGUAUUAUAAUUUCCUCUAAAAAUCAAAUCUAAGGUGAUCAGAAUAUCAAAAGAAUUCAAGAACCUCUUAAAUACAGCAUUCAUAUAUAUAAAGUGGUUUAUCAAACGACCCUUCGUUUAAGUGGUUGGUAGAAAAAUAUAAGAAAAAAAAUUUUUUUUUUUACGAGAAGCGGAUUCUUUUUCUAGAUCUCACAUGGAAAUGAAAUGAUCUGUGGUUCGUUGAUUAUUUAACGAAUAAAAAUCCCAUUUACUGUGUGUGAUACUGUAUAAGUACUCGUUUUUUAAUGUUUAAUUUUUAAUUAAUAUAUAUGGACCAGGGUAAUUCAAAAGUUAUAGUAAAUAAAGGGUUAACCGGGGGUAGUAUUUUAAGAUGUUUGUGUAGGUGUAGUAGAUGAGUGGCCCUAAAGCUAGAAAACGAAAGUAAAUAGUAGAUCAGGAACAAAGCGUGAACGUAUAAGUUUGCUCUGGUACGAAUUAUAUAUAAACGCUGUUCAUUAAUUGUAUUAGAAUAAUAACGAAUAAUGGAUGGAUUGGACAUGUUUUAUCAAAACCAGGUAAUUUACAGCACGAGCAAAGCGAUAGAAAAAACCUAAAAAACAAAAGUAAUCGAGAAUAAAAGGAGUUUUAAUAGGUCAAAAAAACAAUAAUGGUAAAAAACCAUUUAAACGUAUAAAGGAGACAUUAAACAUCAAUAGUAAGCAACUAACCACAAUCAACUGGCAAACAUUAACUAGAAAAUAGAUAAAAAGUUUACAAUGUUAUAAAAAAGUACGAAUAAUAAUAAACGUGCUUUUAUACGAUCUCUCUAUUUUGCACGUGUAAGAGUGAGGGUUAUUAUAUAUCUACUGAUUUAAUUUCAUGCUCCCAAUUCAAAUGAUGAACUACAAUUUUUCUAUGCAUUCAACUAUAACUAGUGUGACCUCAUUCAUAAUUUAUCCAAAAUUUAUGCGUCCUUAUAUAUUUAAACAGGAAAAGAAAAUUGGAAAGCUACGCAGUCAACAUGCCAUUGUUUCGAGAACAUACGUUUUUUAAAUGCACCUGGAGGUUUUAUGGACAUCGCACUGGUACACUUUUUUUUUUUUUUUUUUUUAGAUAUAUAUAUAUGCAUGCAUUUUCGUUGUCUCUUUUCUUUUGAGGUAGAGAAAUAUAAAGGUAAGGUAAGGUCGAGGUUUUGGUAUUAAAUAGUGGGUUUUGUUUGUAAAAAAAAAGAUUUUUUUUCUUUUUUUUUUCUUCUUUUUCGAUCAGCUAGCGUGUGACGGUUCAUUUAAUUUAUGUUAUUUAUUUUUCAUUUAUAACUAAUUUGUCUUAAUCACCACGCAUUUCACGUACCUUCUCCAGCUCAUUCGUUCCUUGCCUAGAAAACGAAAACGCUCAACACUACUUGAUCUUCGUCGCAGAAAUAGGGGUGUUCAUUCCGAGGAGUUAGGCUUUGAGCUGCGGCGGCGGCGGCGUCUGCGUCAGCGGCUACAGCUGCAGGAGGCGGUUCCGUUGCCACCGCCAGUGGGUGCCGCUUAACUUCGGCUUGGGCAGUGCGUCCAGCUCCUCCUCCAGGCCGUCCCGCUUCUCGCUCCGCAGCAGCAGCCGCCGUCGUCUCAGCCCGGCCAGUUGCCCGGCCUCUUACAGCAGUACCCGGCCCGACCCCGGGCGCCAGAGCUCCGGGUAACCCGGCUCUCAUGGACGCCACCGCCGCCGCCGCCGCCGCCGUCGACGCCGCCGGACCUACAGAAAUCCUCUGCGCCAAUGCCCCGCCCCCUCCAGCACCCGCUACAGCCCCUUUAACUCCACCCGGCUGCCCGGGAAUUAACGGUUCCGCCGCUGCAGCACCCGGGCCCGGCGGUAGAGCCGCCAGCCUUUGCACGGGUCGGUAUAGGCCCUGAAGAAGGCGCCGAGCGCCUAAAGCCUGUGGGUGAAGGGGGUCGAGGCGUAGGCCUGCGGGGCCAUCUGGCCCACGAAGGGCAGCGACGAGGCGAAGGACCCGAGGCCGCUAGGGGGCGACCCGACCCGGCCACCACCGGAAAACCGGGCCGAGAAGAAGCGUACGAAAAAAACUGAAAAGCUGCGACUAUUAUUAUUGACCCCAUCUAGGGCGCCGUGUAAUAAUCCUCUUCGUCUAUGGCUGCUGCUGCUGCUGCUGCUGCUAUUCCUGCUGCUGCUACUUCUUCUUCUUCUCCAACACCAGAGAAGGUAAAAUCCCUCCUCGCUUGCACGUCCACCAACGUAUCUUACCAUUCCAUACCCGAAAAUAAUUACGAGUGUACAAUAUCGUUUCCUCUCUCUCUCUCUCUCUCUCUCUCUCUCUACAUACAUUACACACACCUUUGUUUGUUAUUUUCUCCCCUCCCCCCCGGGUAUCUUUUUCCCACCCCCGUCAACCGAACAAUGAGUUCCGAAGACACUUACCGAAGUAUAACUGUGACAACAAGAAGAAAUUUCUAUUGGAAAAAAAAACACACAAAAAAAAUCCCAUUUCUUUGACACGUGUUCUCAAAAUCCUAAUCCAAACGUAUUCAUCUAUUAAUUUCCGGGGAAAAAAACAAACAAUGGUACGGUCUCGUUAUAUUCAACUAUUAACUUCCGAACAAACAAAACAAAUAAUGGUACAGAGACUUAUUGAUUCAAUAGGUUAUUAAUAAAUAAGUCAUAUUAAUCUUGAUUUCUCAUGCAAACUAAAAGUAGGCAUUAAAAGAUUCUUAUUAAAUAAAGUGGAUUUUUAUUUAAAUAAAAUAAGAUUUUUUCGAAUGAUUUAAUUCUUACUAUACAAUAAAACCUAUAAACUAAAAUGAGAAAUAGAUAAUUUAUAAUAUUUAAAAAAACUUAUUCUACGAGCUAGUACGUAGAUUUUUUCGGGAUUUACACACCGGUAAAACCCAAAUUAUAGAUGGAGUGAUAACGCGCGUGUAACUAAGUAAUUAUAAUCAUCAACUCUGUAAAUAAUUUCUGGUUCAGUUUAACUUACAACUAACUUUUUCAUAUUCAUUUUCCCUUUGGGGUAAUUAAAUGACAUUUAAUACAUUUUACGAAUGCUCCGAAACCUAAAAUUAAUACAAUGAAAAGGUUGUUACAAAUUCACAUCAGUUAUUAAAUUAACAAUAUACGAAUGUAUGUAUAUGAGUAAAAACAAAAAUGUUUAUAUAUAAACCCUCUAUUUAUUCGAUAAACAUUAUUAAUUAAACCAUUCUCUACUUCUUGGUAUGGUCUAGAUUAAUGGUUGUCUACCUUUAUUAAGAUUAGAAAUUUGGUUAUUAACCCUGUUUUAAACUCACCAUCAAGGGUUGCCGCGAAAGAAUCCUUCUGAGGCUAUACGAUAGUAUACAAUUAAAAUAUAUAUAUAUAUAUAGAAUUUUUUUUAAUUAAUAUCAAAAAGAAUAUAUAUAAACUUAAACAAAAUCUAGGCAACAUCUCUUUUGCUAGGUACGCAAUUAAAAGAUACACAUUUCGUUUUAUAAAGAGAAUAAUUCGUUACAAUUAGGAUGUUGGGUUUAACUAAUUGCUAUAACAUUAGAAUGUUGGAGUAGUUCUCUGGUGUAGAAAAUAGAUAUUAGAACAGUGAAAGAUAAAAAAUAUUAUGUUUUGUGGUUUUAUUUUUUUUUGAGAGCUCUUCUCCUAAUGUUGGGAACCUACCUCUAAAUAUUAGAAUAUUGGGAGACAACCGUAAGCCAAUUUAGUUUAGCCCACGCAGGUAUUAGCUCGAGCUAGGCUACCUAUAAUACAAUAGAUUAACCUAAUUCUAAUUAGAGCGAAAAUUUAACCUUUCGAUUAAUCUUUAUUUAAGAUUAGUAUAAUCCUAUUAUUAAAUAUUGAUUAAAACGGAAUGGAGAAUGCGAUAACCUUAAAGUUUUAAGGAAUAUUUAUACACCCGAUAGAGUGUAUUUUUAACUACCUACUACUUUCUUGCCUUUUUCUUUCUCUUAUUCUUUUAUUUUCUCUCUUUGAUGUAGGAGGUAAUUGGAUAAUAAGAUUCCCCUGAACUUGCUAACUAAACGCUAGCACGAGCAAAUAUCAAGCUAAGUGGCGCCUAAGCCUCGCAAUCUUCUGGAAGUUUUUGCUAGGUUCCUGUGCACUUAGUUGGAAAUGCUAGGCUUGAGCAGCGCAACAUCGCGCUUAGCGAAGGCAUUUUUCUAUGCUUGCUUAUGAAGGUGACGUAAAAUGUGGGAGUAAUCAAUCAUCUGAUUUCCGCAAAGAGAAUAAAGAUAACGAGGGUUAAACUUAGCAAAAAAGGUGUCGUUCAGAUUUAACCUAAGACUAAGUAAGUGUGCGCAUCAUAACUCCAUCUUAUAAAAAUCUUUAUUAUAAUAAAUGUACGAAAAAGUAAAAAGAAAUUAUCCAUAAUAAGUUCCUGAUAGUUUCAACCUUUAAUAUUAACGGGUGCGGAUUGUGUAGUAAUCUUUGCGUAUUUUUAAGUAAAUAAAAAUCUCUGCGGUUCCUUAAAGGGAACCUAAAUGCGCUCUCCCCGCACGAGGUGCACACUUUGUUACAAAAGGACAAUGACGUUGACAUGUGUUUGAGUACCUGAAUAAUUAUCAGUUGCUGAGGUUUAACUGAGCUAGUAAAAAGGUGGUAUUUAUAAUGACUACGUAAGUUUUUUGGCACACGGAUUUAAAAUUUUUUUUGAAGUUUUUAGAGGGUACACUAAAGUGUGAAAAAGUGAAAUCAUGAGACACCAAAUUUCAUAUAGUUAAACGGAGGGACACUAAAAUAAAAAUAGAGAAACCGUCAAAAAAGGAAUUGUAAAGCAAUUUAAUAUAUGUUUUUUGAAGUAUAUGGGUAAAUCUAAAUAGCUUAUAAAUGAAAUCAUGGGAAAUUAAAAUUGAAACAGUGACUAAAUCCUUUUUUUUUAUUAUUUUAACUAUUAUUUUUCUCUUUUUGCUUUGGUGUUCCUCCGUUUAACUAUGUGAAAUUUGGUGUUCCAUGAUUUCACUCUUUCACACUUCGGAGAAAUUUAAAAUAUAAGAAAUAAAUUUUUUUAAAAUUUUUAAUUAUAAAAACCUGAUUAAGAUAAAAAAAAUAUAUUAAACAUGAUUAAGAAGAAAUGAAAAUAAAAAUAAAAACCUGACAAUUAAUCUAGAGAAGUUCCCGUGAUUACUAAUCUGCAAGAUGACACUUUAUAACAUGGAAUUAACGUACCCGGGAAACUUAGAUAAAAGAACGUGGUUUGUUUUAACAAGGAUAGUAACACCACCGACUCUUGAACAUUAAACCUAGUAAGGAAACAGGACAAAUUAAUCAGGGUACAAAUUAACUAGCUUUAUUAUGAUUUAUUAUAAAAUUAAUUGUGAAAAAAUAAAGUAUAAAACUAUGUGAUUAACUUCUUUUUACCAAUGAACACGUAGAAUCUGAAUCAAACCAUAACUCCGGAUAGAUCGCAAUAAUCUAUUUUACUUCAACUCUUUUUUCAUAUAUCUUUAUACAAACAUGCAAGUGGCCACCCUGGUAUCUUUUAUAUAUAGUAUUGGCUGAGUAGCGCUAUACGUCUUACGUUAUAAUGCAUGCCUUUGUUUGUACUAUAAAAAGGUUGCAUGAAAGAGUGGCGUGCGUUAAGGUUUGCUUCGGAAUCAGAUAUGUCUACAUUUAGAAUAUAAAGAAGAUAAUUUUUUAAGUGUUGAGAAAUUUAAUUUUUUUAUUUUAAUCAUUUUUGUUUUUGUCGGAAAUCUACUCAUCCUAUAUAUAAAAUGUAAAUCAAAUCUGCACGUUAUUGCAGCGAGAAUUUUUAUUUAUUUAUUUAUUUAAGAUCCCACGAGAGGUUAAUCGAACUACGAAACUUAAUUGACACUUUUAUGAAAAGAUCAUUUCUAGAUAAAAGCUUUCCCUUGCGAAAAUAUUGAAAAAAUUGAGAAAUGGAAAAAAAAUACGAGAUUUUAUACUUCCGUUAACGUAAAUCUUUUACGUUAGGGUUUAAUGCAGAGCGAAUUAAAAAAAAGUAGAUUUAAUAUAAUUUAAAAUAUACGUGUCUUAUUAAUUUAUAUUAAAAAAUUUAAUGUCAUACUAUUUUAUUUUUAUACACUAUAGUGUACCCCUGUUUUAUAACCUCAUAUAAAAAAGUGAUGAGUGCAUUACAUCGGUUGCUCUACAUCGGAUACGUUGGUGGUUAAGAAAAUAAACAUGAACAAUAAUUAGUGUAAACAAACAUGGUUGUUGAAUAGAGGAUCGAUACCCUGGUUUUUCUUUUUAUUUAUUUAUUUAUUUAUUUAUUAAAAGCAUGUAACUAGUGUAUUAAUCGUAGAAUUUAUUCUAAUUGAUUCACAAAAGUAAGAACAUCUUUACUAGUUUAUUAUGAUAUUAUAUGUUAAUACAUCGAGAAGAUUUAAUUAAUUAAUUAAUUAAUUAAUUAUAAAAUUUUAUAGUGUAGGUUACCUAUGACGUAGUCACCGGCAUCCAACCACCACUUCUUCGACAAAAAUCUUUAAAACAUACGGAGUUAUUUAUUUUUAUACUAUUUUAACAUGUACCAAAGCUUAACUUAGAAAAUAAAACAAAAGAUAACUAUUAAAAUUUUAAAAAAUGAUAAAAUUAAAUUCAAUUCAAUAAAAUCACGAGUUAAUAACGCUAUAAUUAUCAGUUACAACCUACCCCUAACUCUCUCACUGCGAAAAACACACUUCAAAGUCUUUAAAUCUUCGUGUUCAAAUCAUAAUAUUUUAAACUCGAUCCUAAUCUUAUAAAAGAUUUUUAAUUUAAACAAUGUGAAAUUGUAGAUUACUAAUGAUCAUAAGUUUAAUAAGAUUUAAACUGUUUAAAAUUACUAAUUGUAUUUCACUUUAAUUUUGACGAGCUAGUAGCCCAUUUAUUAUAGUAUUUUAAUAUUUUAAGUUCAAAACUUCAUAAGAUUGAAAACAAUCAUUUUUAGAUAUGUUUAUACAUUUAAUAUAACUAUAAAACAUUCUUUUAUAAUCAUUAACUAGGUAAAUAAAAUUGUACAUUGAGGGAGGGGUGAACAUCACGAAACAGGUUACUACAAGAGGAUUAAAUAUACGACGGUUUUUAUAAUGGAUGUUGUUGAUAAUGAAUUUUUUAGUUAAUUAUGAGUGAAAACAACCGAAUUUGCCUAAUCGUAGGACAAUACAAUGUCCUCCAGCACAACCCAGCUCAGUAUAAGCUUUACCGCACUCCGACUCACCCGGAUCAGUACAAGCUUCACCGUACUCUAAUCAAGCCGGUUCAGUGUUAGCUUUAGGCACCCACGACAUAGACAUGCGAAAUUUACUUAAUCAACACAUAAAGAUUGUCGAGCUCGAAAACUCUAAUUACCAAUCGCGGUUGCUAGGCUGUUGAAAACCGAGCCGGCUUAUUUUUAACAAAUCCUUACCUUGAAGUUUAACAAGUAAACUCUGAUACAUGCGUCGCCGAAACUCUACUACUACUAAGAAUGCCAGAGUUUAUUUUAUUAGAUUUUAAAGUAUGAGUUUAUUAAAAACAGGAAAAGUUAUAUGUGUAAAAGUUUGAAAGGCAUCUACAAUUAAUUCGAUCAUGUUAUUUUGUUUCGCGAAAGAGCACGUCGUACUCCAUGCUUUUUUUGUUUUUUUUUUUUUUCUUUACCAACCUCUCAAAUUAUUGUUGCAAGAUAACAUUGAUGAACAACAGGGGACACUAGUGCUAGAGCAGGUAUGUCUUUAAAUGCCGGGAACAAAAGUAUUAGGUACUUGAUUUGUAUCCACAUGAUUUCUCUCGGAGAGAGGGAGUCUCCGCGAAAGGCUCUGAGUCACACAAUCAACCAAACUUUGAUGUGAAUGCUAAAUUAAUGUAUUUAGGUAAUUUCGUGCUUCCAAAAGGUGCUGGUACAAUCCUUUUGGCCUCGCAGAUAAUCGCAUGUGAUUAAUCAAAUGAAGGGCUUUUAUAGAAGAAUCCUGUGCCUCACAUCAAGCCUAUCAACUGGUGGCAUUUUUCUACUUGUCGCAAUCUGGUGUUCCCUACUGUAAGUUUAUAGUAACUAGUUAUCUUCGUACAUGUACUAUAUCACUGUCCUAAUGGGUCAUUAACAAAACAAAAGCAUAUAAAUGGUAUAAUCAGGAACAGUUGCACUUGAAUAACAUAUAAAUGGUGUAAUCAGGAACAAAAGAAUAUAUAUUUCAAUAUCUUAUUCGAAAGAGCCAUUUGAUUUGAAAAUCACUAAUUUGUUAAGCUCAAAAAUCAAAUAAAAAAAGUCCCAAGCAAAAGAGAAGGAGAAGAACUUGGUAAAUUUUAUGCAUUAGGACUCUGUAAUAAGUAAAAGAAUUCUGUGAUAUGUGAAAUAAAGACAAUUAGUCGCUAUACACAGAUGCAAAACUUCGAUAGCACCCACACAUACUUGUAAUGAUUUUGCAGAAUAACUUUUAACUAGAAUGAAGAUAGCACACAUUUUUAAUCUCAUAACAAGACUCUGCACCAGUAAUAUGAGAAAAUAACAAAAGUAUCAUGUAUAGAAACUUACAUUUCUUACAUCUGCAUCUUUCACGUCCAGAUCAGUUGUAACCAUAAUGAACUUCACCUUUGUGUUAGACAAAUAUCCAUAUCUACAAAGCAUAUAAAGCAAAAAGAAUGAAACAUGUAUCUAUUAAUUUGUUUCAUGCAGAAAAAAAAAGUAGCCUAACACAUGCGUGUCAUCACCAGAAUCAGUUUUAGUUGUAUUUUAGUAGAAUAGCUUCCUUUAGGAAGAAACUUACCAACCUGCAUUGCAACACCGAUUAGCAUUUAAUGAAAGAUGAAGCAAAAACCUCAUUGAUAGUGUGCUUUAUCAAAAAAGUGCAUGCAAAACAAUAGUCUAAAGUGUCUUAUGCAAUUAGCCAAAAGAUAAAGCAAAAAUUUUUACUAUGUUCAAGGUUUAAUGAUGGUUAGUCAGGAGGGUCAACAUACACUGCUUAUAACACCAGUAAGUUCUUGUAAUUUCUCUUCUUUUUGGUAAGAGCUAGCAUCAAUAAGUUCAUGUCUUGCAAGUUCUUUUUCAAACAAGAAGCUAGCCAAGCUGCACUAAUUGUGAACAUUGAAUACCUUACUUGACCAAAUUAACAACAUCUUUCAAACUCAUGCUACAGCCCCUCAUAAUCUAGUCUUAUGAAUUUGCGGCAUCUUAAUAUCCCUUAGUAAUGAAACGAGACGCAGAACCAAUUAAUACCUACAUGCGAGUUUUGACAUUUUUCAGUUAUAUAAAAGAUGGUGGCCCUAAUUUUGCUUAAAACAACAUUUUGCUAUUACCAAGCAAAACAGUUGAGAGUUGGACAUCAUGUUUCAGAUUUCAUGCAAAGGAUCAGAAGUUACCUAAUAGUAUGCAAUGGAAAUUUGGCACAGGAAGACUAGUCAAACAGUAUCUGGGUGCAAUCCACACGCACUUGCGUUGCCAGGUUGGUUGAUUCUCUUCUUUCCACUUAAAAGAAUCACAACCUUACUAAUGUCUAAAAUGUGAUCUUUUAUCAACUUCUCAUACUUGUUUCAAUAUAUAUGGAUGCUUAAACUAGCAUUUGGAAAAACAACGAUUCAGUUAAUAUGACCUGUAGGAAAUUCUAUAUUACUCAUAAGAAAUCAAAGUCACUUCAGUAAAGCAGAUGAUUCUGUUGUUGAUUACUUCUCCAAUUUGCAGCUGAUUGGUUAGUCAUGUAACAUCUUAUGCGCUACCUAAUAGGUGGUUUUGUAGGCUGUCUUCAAUGAAACUGAGGAAUUCAUUCUAUCAGUCGACGAACUGAAAAAUGAGGUUAGUUUUCUGUCCUUCACAGAUCUUGAUAAUACUUAUCAGUUGUUUCAGAUUUCAUGCCUAUACAGGUAAUCUUCCGAGCGUAACGCCAAAAAGCUUCAACUUUUGAUCUCAUGCACUUCCUAAACAUGCAGACGCUUAAUCGAAAUGUUAUGUAUAGCAUCUACCUAAUGUGGACACAGACACGCAACAGAACACGGGAACAUUGAAUAACAUUUGAAUUAAUUAUUGAUCAAUGAAUAAGUUUUGAACAUAUAAUAAGGCUAAGAUGAUGGAAUUUACCUAAUGAACAAUAAGCUCAUGGAUGAACAUCAUAGAUGAGAAGCGGAUGCAUCUGAAGCCUAAGAGAGUAAAUAUACUACAAUUAGUGUCAAAGAAAACUAAUUUAAAUAGUCAAUUUAGCACAUAACUUUGAGAAAAGAAAUUGAUUGGAACUAACAAUUUUUUUACGGCGUGUAGAUUUUUUGCACUUUGAGCUGCCAUUGUGAUGAACUGAAUCUGAAGCAUUUCUCGCAGAACAUUCUUCAACUUCACUCACUCUUCCAANAAAUGUAAGAGAUGGAUGCAAUGUAUAUGAUCUAAAAUGAAUCAUAUUACUUGUGAAUGUUUAGUUUCCUUUUUCUUUCACUAAUGGCUAUUGCUUACCCUCGCGUAAGCCGUUUGUGUAUGUUUCCGCUAGUGCAUUUCUUGUUUGAAUUGUACACGUGUUGAGCCUUGGGCGGAUAGAGGUAACUCUGUCCGUUCGGCGUCUGUUUGACGUGCUCGGGUCGGGCCAAAUUGGUAUCGGUCCCGGGGCGUGACAGAUCAGAUGAGCUAUUUCGAUUAUGGUAGAUUCUAUGCCCAAUUGAGAAGGAUUGCACCAGCAACUACUCCGUAAUGAGCAUAAGUUGGUGUGUAAUUGUUCGUCAAAGAUUUGAGUUAUUAUUUCUACACAUAAUUGGAAAGAAAUUUAACUUUAACAUAGAAGAAAAGUAAACAAAUAUUUUUGAAUAACACGCUAACAAGAUGUACGUGAUGGCAAGUGGCACAUGAUAAAAGAAAAUAGUCGCCGAAUAGGAUAUAAAUCUCAAUAUGGGUCAAUAAAUUACUUUACGAUGAUAAAUUACUUAUGAGGGUUAUUGUAUGCAGUGACACUACAACAUUCUUCUACUAUUUAACGACAACCAUUAAUAUCCAAAAUAUAAAAACAACAAAGCAUAAAACCAAAAACAAAAUGCAGUCACUAGAUGUCCACAGCAAUUUCAAUUUUGUACAUUUUUAGAUUGAAAGUAUUGGUUAGUGGCACGAAAAAAGUAUAAAUAACUAAUACAACAAACAACAAAAACAUGUAAUAUUCAACAACUCUUAUAUAUUUAUUAAAGGGUUAAUUUCAUACAGGUCCCUGCAAAUAUAGUGAAUUGCAAAUAUAUCCCUACAAAAUUCAACUUUCAUAUGUUGUCCCUACAAAAGUCCUAAUGUUUUCAAAUAUGUCCCUCUGCUUUGUUACCGUUAAAAUACUAUUUAUUUUGUAAGUGAAAUGAUCUUUUGCCAUCACAAUAUGUCCCUCUAAAAAUCCUAACUAUUAAUUAAAGAGGGGUAAAAAUGUCAAUUCACCUCAUUAACUAACUAGGGUUAUGUAUUUUACCUAUGGUUAACUAAUUUUUUCUAGCGGAUCCUAACGGCAGGGACAUAUUUGAAAAUUUCAGGACUUUUGCAGGGACAAUAUAUGAAAGUUGAACUUUGUAGGAAUAUAUUUGCACUUCACUAUGUUUGUAGGGACCUGUAUGAAAUUAACCCUUUAUUAAAACUUCAACCCUGCAAAAACAGAAAUGGUGCGUAAUGAAUAUAUGAUGGCUGCAAGGAACUAGCCUCCAUGCCUAUGAUACUAGGAUCCCAGACAUAUCAUCACUUAAUUAUUAUGCUGCAAAUAUAACCUCAGAAUUGAGUCAAACAUUGUGUCAAAAAGAAUUAGAGUUGUACAACAAUAAAUUGAACUAUCUAGAUAGC
Molecule: long non-coding RNA, 35112 nt
Filed under: Ananas comosus (pineapple)
Lineage: Eukaryota; Viridiplantae; Streptophyta; Magnoliopsida; Poales; Bromeliaceae
Description: long non-coding RNA (ACOM_LNC026413)
Source: RNAcentral